This 1467-nucleotide long non-coding RNA is filed under the name Gadus morhua (Atlantic cod). RNAcentral's name for it is "lncRNA (ENSGMOG00000030925.1)". The record is from RNAcentral. Lineage: Eukaryota; Metazoa; Chordata; Actinopteri; Gadiformes; Gadidae.
AUGAGUCCAGUCCGUCAGUCCAGAGCGUCAGUCAGUCAGUCCAGAGCGUCAGUCAGUCAGUCCAGAGCGUCAGUUCAGAGCGUCAGUUCAGAGCGUCAGUCCAGAGCGUCAGUCCAGAGCGUCAGUUCAGAGCGUCAGUCCAGAGCGUCAGUCCAGAGCGUCAGUCCAGAGCGUCAGUCCGUCAGUCCAGAGCGUCAGUCCAGAGCGUCAGUCAGUCAGUCCAGAGCGUCAGUCCGUCAGUCCAGAGCGUCAGUCCAGAGCGUCAGUCCAGAGCGUCAGUCCACAGCGUCAGUCCAGAGCGUCAGUCCAGAGCGUCAGUCCAGAGCGUCAGUCCGUCAGUCCAGAGCGUCAGUCCAGAGCGUCAGUCCGUCAGUCCAGAGCGUCAGUCCGUCAGUCCAGAGCGUCAGUCCAGAGCGUCAGUCCGUCAGUCCAGAGCGUCAGUCCACAGCGUCAGUUCAGAGCGUCAGUCCACAGCGUCAGUCCAGAGCGUCAGUCCAGAGCGUCAGUCCAGAGCGUCAGUCCGUCAGUCCAGAGCGUCAGUCCAGAGCGUCAGUCCGUCAGUCCAGAGCGUCAGUCCGUCAGUCCAGAGCGUCAGUCCAGAGCGUCAGUCCGUCAGUCCAGAGCGUCAGUCCGUCAGUCCAGAGCGUCAGUCCAGAGCGUCAGUCCAGAGCGUCAGUCCGUCAGUCCAGAGCGUCAGUCCAGAGCGUCAGUCCGUCAGUCCAGAGCGUCAGUCCAGAGCGUCAGUCCAGAGCGUCAGUCAGUCAGUCCAGAGCGUCAGUCCAGAGCGUCAGUCAGUCAGUCCAGAGCGUCAGUCAGUCAGUCCAGAGCGUCAGUCAGUCAGUCCAGAGCGUCAGUCCGUCAGUCCAGAGCGUCAGUCCGUCAGUCCAGAGCGUCAGUCCAGAGCGUCAGUCCAGAGCGUCAGUCAGUCAGUCCAGAGCGUCAGUCCAGAGCGUCAGUCAGUCAGUCCAGAGCGUCAGUCCGUCAGUCCAGAGCGUCAGUCCGUCAGUCCAGAGCGUCAGUCCGUCAGUCCAGAGCGUCAGUCCAGAGCGUCAGUCCAGAGCGUCAGUCCGUCAGUCCAGAGCGUCAGUCCAGAGCGUCAGUCAGUCAGUCCAGAGCGUCAGUCCAGAGCGUCAGUCCGUCAGUCCAGAGCGUCAGUCCAGAGCGUCAGUCCGUCAGUCCAGAGCGUCAGUCCAGAGCGUCUGUCCAGAGCGUCAGUCCGUCAGUCCAGAGCGUCAGUCCAGAGCGUCAGUCCAGAGCGUCAGUCCGUCAGUCCAGAGCGUCAGUCCAGUCCGUCAGUCCAGUCCGUCAGUCCAGAGCGUCAGUCCGUCAGUCCAGAGCGUCAGUCCAGAGCGUCAGUCCGUCAGUCCAGAGCGUCAGUCCAGAGCGUCAGUCCGUCAGUCCAUCAGUCCAGAGUAUCAGUCCCCCCCCCUCCCUCCUAGACCCCUCAGCUCAACCCUUUGUAUCUAG